Molecule: ribosomal RNA, 252 nt
Filed under: uncultured bacterium
Lineage: Bacteria
Description: partial 16S ribosomal RNA
Rfam family: Bacterial small subunit ribosomal RNA
Source: RNAcentral
UACGGGGGGGCAAGCGUUGUUCGGAAUUACUGGGCGUAAAGGGCUCGUAGGCGGCCAACUAAGUCCGACGUGAAAUCCCAAAGCUUAACUUUGGAACUGCGUCGGAUACUGGAUGGCUUGAAUUCGGGAGAGGGAUGCAGAAUUCCAGGUGUAGCGGUGAAAUGCGUAGAUAUCUGGAGGAAUACCGGUGGCGAAGGCGGCAUCCUGGACCGACAUUGACGCUGAGGAGCGAAAGCUAGGGGAGCAAACGGG